AGAGUUUGAUCAUGGCUCAGGACGAACGCUGGCGGCGUGCCUAAUACAUGCAAGUUGAACGCAACAAAGACACCAGAGCUUGCUCUACCGUCUUUGUUGAGUAGCGAACGGGUGAGUAACGCGUGGGUAACCUGCCUUAUAGCGGGGGAUAACUAUUGGAAACGAUAGCUAAUACCGCAUAACAAUAGAGAUUGCAUAAUCUUUAUUUGAAAGUGCCAACUGGUACACUAUGAGAUGGACCCGCGUUGUAUUAGCUAGUUGGUAGUGUAAUGGACUACCAAGGCGAUGAUACAUAGCCGACCUGAGAGGGUGAUCGGCCACAUUGGGACUGAGACACGGCCCAAACUCCUACGGGAGGCAGCAGUAGGGAAUCUUCGGCAAUGGACGAAAGUCUGACCGAGCAACGCCGCGUGAGUGAAGAAGGUUUUCGGAUCGUAAAACUCUGUUGUUAGAGAAGAAUGUUGAUUAGAGUGGAAAAUUAAUCAAGUGACGGUAUCUAACCAGAAAGGGACGGCUAACUACGUGCCAGCAGCCGCGGUAAUACGUAGGUCCCGAGCGUUGUCCGGAUUUAUUGGGCGUAAAGCGAGCGCAGGUGGUUUAAUAAGUCUGAUGUAAAAGGCAGUGGCUCAACCAUUGUGUGCAUUGGAAACUGUUAGACUUGAGUGCAGUAGAGGAGAGUGGAAUUCCAUGUGUAGCGGUGAAAUGCGUAGAUAUAUGGAGGAACACCGGUGGCGAAAGCGGCUCUCUGGACUGUCACUGACACUGAGGCUCGAAAGCGUGGGUAGCAAACAGGAUUAGAUACCCUGGUAGUCCACGCCGUAAACGAUGAGUGCUAGUUGUUUGGGGCUAUCCAGCCCUAAGUGACGCAGCAAACGCAUUAAGCACUCCGCCUGGGGAGUACGACCGCA
Molecule: ribosomal RNA, 908 nt
Filed under: uncultured bacterium
Lineage: Bacteria
Description: bacterial SSU rRNA
Rfam family: Bacterial small subunit ribosomal RNA
Source: RNAcentral